GAUGGCACACGACGCAACGAUCAAAGUGUUGAUUUAUCUCUCUGACUUUGCGUUGCUGGUGCACAUUGCACCACGGCGCUGAGGUCACAGUGCAGAGCAACUGUGAAACCGCAGCUCACAAAUAUCACAUUCUUGCGAAAAUAACGUUAGCCGGUUCCAUUUUAAGUCUUCAAAUGUUUGGAUUUUCUGUUUCCUCCGCUGCAGAACGCUCGUGGUGAUUCAUCAAGAAAAACAAAUGGUCGACUUCAAAUUGGGCUUCUUGUUGGAACGUGACGGGGGCCUUUGAGAAGCAUCACCUGUUCCACACAAAUCCAACGGCCUUGUCUCUGCCCUGCCAGCUGCUGACAGCACGAGUCACUUUGAGUUGCUAUCAGCUCCAUCCUCCCAGCAUCCUCUGAGGAAGGAAGCAGGGCCAGGCUGCACCAGAGCCCCGCAAGCUUUGCAUCACCAUCUCCUGCAGGGACACUGGUUAUUUUUGGACCAAGGGCGGAUCACAUUACGACGGCGAAGAGGACCCCUCGGACAGGAAAUCGCCCAGCACGCCACCCAGCAGGUCCCGUUGGCUCUCAGCCGACCCGACUGUGAUUCGGCCUCAUAUGCAGACGUCGGUCAGGGAGAGAAACGCCUCACAGAACAAGAGACCCGUCUCCAGCGACGGGUGACCUCUAAAAUCCCAUCAGCCCCGGUGGGACACGACCUGCACGCUGUCGCUGUGUGCAAAAAGGGCAGCAAGCUGAGGAAGCCAGGAAACAGAAGCUCACAUUGGAACAAAUGGAUCAAUGGUGUGAUUUGUCUCCUCCGUCAUCCCAAUUUGACACCUCACCCCCUCCCUCCCCCCUCCGAGAACGGAGGUGAAGUCACUGCACCUGCCUGCUCCCACUGUGACUACACCACCCAUAAUGAGGGCGAGUCAUCAACUUAAACGGUUUACUUGACUCAACAAG
Gasterosteus aculeatus aculeatus (three-spined stickleback) is the source of this 944-nucleotide long non-coding RNA. The record is from Ensembl. Lineage: Eukaryota; Metazoa; Chordata; Actinopteri; Perciformes; Gasterosteidae.